GGCAACGGGUCAUUAUUUAUCCAGUGCGGGCUGGCCCAGAGAUGGGCUCUGCAGGGUACAGGUUGUGGAAAUCCUCGGAUCCUCUUAACUCUAAGAACCAUGACCGGCUCAAAAGGACCUGAUGGCCUGACAGCUCAGAACUUUCUGUUGAGGAUCAGAGUUGGCGCUGUAGCUGCUCACAGGAAACGAAGCAGGAUCAGUUUAAGCUGGUUUACUCCAGCAAUCCUCAUGCACAAAUAAGAGGCCGGACUUUGU
Rhinolophus ferrumequinum (greater horseshoe bat) is the source of this 255-nucleotide long non-coding RNA. RefSeq lists it as uncharacterized. The record is from RefSeq and is a predicted model, not a curated record. Lineage: Eukaryota; Metazoa; Chordata; Mammalia; Chiroptera; Rhinolophidae. The transcript has 2 exons.